UCGCCGUGAAGAUGCGGUGUACCCGCGGCUAGACGGAAAGACCCCGUGAACCUUUACUAUAGCUUGACACUGAACAUUGAAUUUUGAUGUGUAGGAUAGGUGGGAGCCUUUGAAGCAGUGACGCCAGUCAUUGUGGAGGCGACCUUGAAAUACCACCCUUUAACGUUUGAUGUUCUAACGAAGUGCCUGAAACGGGUACUCGGACAGUGUCUGGUG
RNAcentral lists this ribosomal RNA (216 nucleotides) under Pasteurella multocida. RNAcentral's name for it is "partial 23S ribosomal RNA". It matches the Rfam family "Bacterial large subunit ribosomal RNA", at positions 2048 to 2263 of the family's 2925-position model. The record is from RNAcentral. Lineage: Bacteria; Pseudomonadati; Pseudomonadota; Gammaproteobacteria; Pasteurellales; Pasteurellaceae.